UGAUUGUCUCAUCUCAGAAAAGGGUUGUAUUUGUCUGGCUUCAGCUCUUUCUUCAAACCCCUCCCACCUAAAAGAGCUGGAUCUGAGCUACAAUUAUCCCGGAAAAUCAGGACUGAAGCUGUUAUCUGUUAGACUGGAGGAUCCUGUCUGUAAACUGGAGAAGCUUAAAACUGACCAUGCUUCAGUAAGCAGAGCUCGACCACGUUUGCUGAGAUAUGCCUGUGAGCUCACACUGGACCCAAACACAGCAUUCAGACGUCUCUCUCUCUCUGAGGGGAACAGAAAGGUGACAAGUGUGGAUAAGGAGCAGCCGUAUCCUGACCACCCAGAGAGAUUUGACUGCUGGUGGCAGGUGUUGUGUAGAGAGGGUCAGUCUGGACGCUGCUACUGGGAGGCUGAGUGGAGUGGGGGUGAGGCUCAUAUAGGAGUGGCAUAUAAAAGCAUCCAGAGGAA
Molecule: long non-coding RNA, 453 nt
Organism: Clupea harengus (Atlantic herring)
Lineage: Eukaryota; Metazoa; Chordata; Actinopteri; Clupeiformes; Clupeidae
Exons: 3
Source: RefSeq, a predicted model, not a curated record